This is a long non-coding RNA of Ailuropoda melanoleuca (giant panda), 304 nucleotides long. RefSeq lists it as uncharacterized. NCBI's taxonomy places the organism in Eukaryota, Metazoa, Chordata, Mammalia, Carnivora, Ursidae. The transcript has 3 exons. The record is from RefSeq and is a predicted model, not a curated record.
GCCUCCCAGAACUGACUCCCCACCCCCAACAUAUUUUGUCUUUUGCUGAAGCUGGUAUUUAAAGUGAUGGCUGCAGCCGUUUCAGGGAGUUACUCACUUUUCCUGGGUCUCUGCCAUGUAUACAGGAGGCCUCGAGGGAGGGCCGUGUGAGGACCUAGAAUCUGGCCAUCUGCAAUCCGACAAGAGCGAUCUCACCAGGAACUGAAAUGGCUGGCACCUUGAUCCUGGACUUCCCACCAAAAUCAGAGAGAGCCAACAGGAGCUGGUGGAGGGGUAGAGGGAGAGAGAGAGAAUCCUGAGCAGA